Non-coding RNA from Tribolium castaneum (red flour beetle), 96 nucleotides. The record is from RefSeq and is marked provisional. NCBI's taxonomy places the organism in Eukaryota, Metazoa, Arthropoda, Insecta, Coleoptera, Tenebrionidae.
GUAUUUAGCUGGACUGCUGGUGUCAUGUAUUCGACUCUUUUCACCAUGCCGUACCUCCUAGUCGCCCAUUACCACGCUAGCGGAACGGUUGUUACU